UACGUAGGGGGCUAGCGUUGUCCGGAAUCAUUGGGCGUAAAGAGCGUGUAGGCGGUCCGGUAAGUCCGCUGUGAAAGUCGGGGGCUCAACCCUCGAAUGCCGGUGGAUACUGUCGGGCUAGAGUGCGGAAGAGGCGACUGGAAUUCCUGGUGUAGCGGUGAAAUGCGCAGAUAUCAGGAGGAACACCGGUGGCGAAGGCGGGUCUCUGGGCCGAUACUGACGCUGAGGAGCGAAAGCGUGGGGAGCGAACAGG
Molecule: ribosomal RNA, 253 nt
Filed under: uncultured bacterium
Lineage: Bacteria
Description: partial 16S ribosomal RNA
Rfam family: Bacterial small subunit ribosomal RNA
Source: RNAcentral